AUAAACAUACGCUACGCGAAUAUCAUCAUAAACGCGAUAUCCCGGUGUAAAAUCGCUUUAUCAAAAUGGUAAUAUUCGAUUACAUUGAAAUAAGUCAUGUAUUUAAAGUCUACUGAUAACACACUACCGCAACAACGAUUCGCACUUCCAACUGAGUAAACAUUUGGAGUAAAUAACAUGAAAGGGGCCAUUGCCAACUGUGUAACAAUAUAGAUAUAGUAUAAUGUUUGGAUCAGUUAGGACAUAUUAGGACAUUAGGAGCUUAUCGACUGGAAAAGUUUGAAUAAUUUACAGGAUUCGGAGGUGGUCCACUCGACAUUGGAAAGCCAAAUCCAGGUGGAGGAAUAGAAAACUGUGGUGGCAUCAUACCAGGAGGUCCUGGAGGCAAUCCUGGUGUCGGUAUAAAUGGAGUUCCAGGAAUAAUAGGCGGUACGAAGCCUGGUGGUAUGCUCGGAGGCACCGAUGGGAAGGCUGCCACGGUCCCAGGUGGAGGAAUACCCUCACUGGAUGCCUUAGUUGUAAAAUAAAAUUUGAAUAGAAAUGGACUCCUGCUUUACAGGUUAAGCUACCGGCACAGGACUUGGAUGCGCGGUAGCUGUUACUGAACAAUGUAAUAGAUGAAUAAAAUCUCACCAUAAUCCUUGCUUUUGACUAAGAAAUGAAUAUCAUGAAUUAACUAGAUCACCAUACAUUUGAACAAACGUAAACAAUUCGCACGCUCUUCGAUAAAACGAGCACUCACAACUUGGUCACAACUUUACGCAUU
This 766-nucleotide unclassified non-coding RNA is filed under the name Athalia rosae (coleseed sawfly). Its description in RNAcentral is "misc RNA ENSAEAG00005009503.1". Lineage: Eukaryota; Metazoa; Arthropoda; Insecta; Hymenoptera; Athaliidae. The record is from RNAcentral.